This 253-nucleotide ribosomal RNA is filed under the name uncultured bacterium. Its description in RNAcentral is "partial 16S ribosomal RNA". It matches the Rfam family "Bacterial small subunit ribosomal RNA", at positions 524 to 776 of the family's 1533-position model. The record is from RNAcentral.
UACAGAGGGUGCAAGCGUUAAUCGGAAUCACUGGGCGUAAAGAGUGCGUAGGUGGUUAGAUAAGUUGAGUGUGAAAUCCCCGGGCUCAACCUGGGAAUUGCGCUCAAAACUGUCUAGCUAGAGUAUGGUAGGGGGAAGUGGAAUUUCCGGUGUAGCGGUGAAAUGCGUAGAUAUCGGAAGGAACAUCAGUGGCGAAGGCGACUUCCUGGACCAAUACUGACACUGAGGCACGAAAGCGUGGGGAGCAAACAGG